UCCUCGAUAGCUCAAUCGGUGGAGCGGGUGACUGUUAAUCACUAGGCUGGCGGUUCAAGUCCGUCUCGAGGAGCCA
RNAcentral lists this transfer RNA (76 nucleotides) under Desulfovibrio sp. RNAcentral describes it as "tRNA-Asn". It matches the Rfam family "tRNA". Rfam says of the family: Transfer RNA (tRNA) molecules are approximately 80 nucleotides in length. Lineage: Bacteria; Pseudomonadati; Thermodesulfobacteriota; Desulfovibrionia; Desulfovibrionales; Desulfovibrionaceae. The record is from RNAcentral.